AUGAAUACACCUUUUUCCUUGCUAAACUGGAAUGCACGUGGACUGAAUGAUAAAACCCGCCAUGGCGGGGUGCGCUCGCUCGUGAACCAGACACGAUGCGCUCUUGUAUGCGUCCAGGAAACCAAAAAGGUCGCGUUUACGCCGCCGGAGCUCUGUGAAACAGUAAGCCCCGCGCUCUCAGAGCAUGCCGUUUUGCCAGCGGAUGGUACGCGAGGCGGGAUCUUACUCGCUUGGAACCCGUCUGUCUUUCGCCUUGAUUGCAUUGCGGUCACCGAGUUCGCCAUCAGCGCCCGCGUCAAUCCUCUCCUUGGUGGCCAGCCCUGGUGGUUAACCUCCGUCUACGGGCCAACGGGCGACGCGGAUAAGCUGCGCUUCCUUGCUGAGCUCGCGGGUCUGCGUGCGGUGGCGCACGGGCCCUGGCUUAUCGUCGGCGACUUCAACCUCAUCUACGAGGCGCGCGACAAGAGCAGCUCGAACCUCAACCGCCGGCUCAUGACCUGCUUUUGGGACGCGCUGAAUGCUAGUGAGCUCCGCGAGCUCAAGCUGGCCGGGCGGCGUUUCACCUGGUCCAAUGAGCAGGCUAGGCCAGUGCUGGUGCGUCUGGAUCGGGCCUUCUGCAACGGUGACUGGGACCUCACCUUCCGAGGCGCCAGGCUACAGCCGCUGGCCACCGCCAUGUCGGAUCACUGCCCACUGCUACUCACUUGCGAGCCGCUGGUCCGGCGGCCGCCUUGCUUCCAUUUCGAGGCUUUCUAG
Molecule: ribosomal RNA, 756 nt
Filed under: Triticum aestivum (bread wheat)
Lineage: Eukaryota; Viridiplantae; Streptophyta; Magnoliopsida; Poales; Poaceae
Description: partial small subunit ribosomal RNA
Source: RNAcentral